GUGGCUGUGUCUGGCUAAAUGCAGAGACAAACAUAGUCGUGGGAUAAUGAGAGUGAAACUGUGGCUGUAGGAAUUGAAGACAGAAAUGACACAAAUCCCAGAUCCCUUUUAAGCGCUUAACGCCUCAUCUCGUCACUGAGGAAGGUAAAGGCUGCGCGUCGUCGCCAGGAAGCGUCCGGGAGAUGGAAGGGGGGACUGCGGAAACCGGGAAUGACGAGAGGACGAGUGAAGCAGCGGGCACCAGCGUCUGUUUACAGCUUGACCUGGGGGACACAGAUCCAGCCAAGAGAGCUCAGAUAACAGAGAUGCCGUCGCCGUUCGGAACGGGCCCAGCCCACGAGAAAAAGAUCGGCCACAGGAGGGUCGACGCCUCUGGAGAGACAACAUACAAGAAGACCACCUCCUCCGCCUUGCAGGGGGCCAUUCAGCUGGGCAUUGGAUAUACUGUAGGCAACCUCAGCUCCAAGCCUGAGAGAGAUGUGCUGAUGCAGGACUUCUAUGUGGUUGAAAGCAUCUUCUUCCCCAGUGAAGGCAGUAACCUGACACCAGCUCAUCAUUUCCCGGACUUCCGGUUUAAAACCUAUGCCCCUGUGGCCUUCAGGUACUUCAGAGAGCUGUUUGGGAUCAGGCCGGAUGACUACCUGUAUUCUUUGUGUAAUGAGCCGCUGAUUGAGUUGACAAACCCAGGAGCUAGUGGCUCCAUAUUCUACGUUACCCGUGAUGAUGAGUUCAUCAUUAAAACUGUUCAGCACAAAGAAGCAGAGUUUCUACAGAAACUUCUUCCUGGAUACUACAUGAACUUGAACCAGAACCCUCGGACUUUGCUGCCAAAGUUUUUUGGCCUUUACUGUGUCCAGUGUGGAGGCAAGAACAUCAGAGUUGUUGUGAUGAACAAUAUUUUACCACGCUCUGUACGCAUGCACCUCAAGUUUGAUCUGAAGGGCUCUACUUACAAGAGGAGAGCAUCGAAGAAGGAGAGAGAGAAGUCCAAACCCACUUACAAAGACCUAGACUUUCUGAAUGACAUUCCUGAAGGCCUCACUCUGGACCAGGACACGUACAGUGCCCUGGUCAAAACUCUACAGAGAGACUGUCUGGUUCUGGAAAGUUUUAAGAUUAUGGACUACAGUUUGCUGCUGGGAGUCCACAACAAGUCCCAAGCAGAGCGGGAGCAGCAGUCUCAGGGCUCUCCUGCAGGAGGUGCAGAUGAAACCAGGCGUGCAGCUCAGAGGGCUUUAUAUUCCACAGCGAUGGAGUCCAUACAGGGAGGCUCCACAUGCAGGGACACACUGGACCAUGAUGACACUAUGGGUGGUAUUCCAGCUGUGGGUGGUAAAGGAGAACGCCUCUUACUGUUCAUUGGAAUCAUUGACAUCCUGCAGUCGUACAGGCUGAUCAAGAAACUGGAGCACUCAUGGAAGUCCCUCAUCCAUGACGGGGACACAGUGUCAGUUCACAGACCUGGUUUCUACGCUGAGAGAUUCUACAAAUUCUGCAGCACCAUUGUCUUCAAGAAGAGCUGCUCACUGCGAUCAUCCCCGUCAAAGAGAGGACGAGGGCCUCUUUUGUCCAAGUCCAGUGCUGGAACGGGUUCAGUUGGACAGCGUCCCUCAGUGAGUGACGACAAGCAGGAAAAUCAGGACAACUUGGAGAACUUACGAGGAGCCCGCAGUUACCCCAUGCUGGAGGACAAUGGGAGAGAGCCACCCUGCACUCCUCCUUCCUUUGAAGAUGCCACUACAGCUUCAACUGCAACCACUCUCUCCUCCAACAACUCUUUACCCACAACCCCCUUUGAUACACCUGAGCACCCACGCUUCAGGAGACAAAUGCUUUCCCCAAGUGUGGCCAGGUCACAGAAAGCUGACUACCAUGGGGAAAAGCAGGACACAAUAACAGUGGAAGUGGAGCUCAGUAAAAUCCCAAAGAGCACAGAGCUCACACAGAUGACAGAAAAGACCUCCCCCAGCCACCUGUCACCUGAUCGUGCUUUCCCUCCAUCUACUAGUCCAACCUCUGCACAUUCCUCCUCUACCCUUCCUCCUUCCUUCACGUCUCCCUCAUCCGCUGCCCAAUCAUCCAGCCAUUCCUCCACCACACUUUCAUCCUCCAUCCGCCCUUCCACCAGACCCCUAACCUCUCCUGCAGCUGCUCAGUCUUCCUCCACUCUCUCUUCUCCAUCUGCACAAUCCAAGUUUCUCACCCCUGUCCCGAACACCUCCCCCACCCUCCCUCCUACCUCAGCGUUUACUCCCAUCCGCCCUGCAUCUUCUAACUCCUCCAUCCACAGCUCCCCACACCACCCCAUCACCCCACCUCCGUCCUCCAUGCCUGCAAGCCCCCAAAGGCCCCCGAGAGCAUCAGCUCCAUCAAGCAAUCAGCUGUCUGUGUCCAGCAGCCACAACUCUCUGGAUGGGGAGGUGCCAGUGUCUGACAUCUACUUUUGGGCCAGUCAGGACAGCGUGGUAGAGUUAUGAUGAAUCCAGAGGACCAGAGCGGAGUGUGCUCUCCUCUGCACUUCGGCUCAGAGUCCAGAAGAGGCUCAGAUGGGGAGAGUUACACAUAACUCACAGUGGAGACAGCAGUGAUGGGCAGAGCCCCAGGCUGUCUCCAUGAACAGAGGCUUGGGGCCUUAACUGCAUGUGGAUUCUACAGGACGACACAUAACUGAAAUAAAUUCAAACUAAAAGGAAGGUGCAGUUUUAUCAGUAUAUAUGCAAAAUAAAACCUCAAAGCAUCGAAUCCUGAACAAUCUUACAUCAAACAGUAAGUAAACAAAGAUGUCAGAGUACAAUCAGCCGAGGGGCACUGUGAACUACUUUGAUGGCUGCUGUUAAGAGGCAGCCAUGCUGCACUGUGUCAGCUCUGGCUAUGCAAUACUGACAUAUGAAAACUUAAAUCAUGCAUUUAUUUUCAUUAGAGGCACAGCACAGUUGUAAAUACUUUUAUUUUUAGCACUUUAUACAUGUACCUGUGGCUGCAGUCUUUUUGUUAUUUAAUGAUCAGUUAUUAUUUGAUAACGCUCAAAACAAAGUUAAUGUGUGUUCAUCUGUGUGCUGUGUAUGCACAGUGUUGGUCUGUCAGUGUUGGUCCAGUAAGAUCUUAUGUUGAUCUGACGAUGAAUGGUUGUGUUUAAAUGCCUUAUUGACAAACACAUUUUCAUACCUGCUUUUGAUAUUUUUAAACAUAUGUAAUCAUUAAAAAAGAUAUUAAAAAAAUCAGCAAGCUACAGAGCCCCCAAAGUAGCAAAAAGUGGGAAAAAUAUCUUAUUGCACAUUAAAUUGUCUCGUUGGAAAACGUUCACGCCGCAUUAGAAAGAGUUAAUAUUUUGUGGAAAUGAUGUUUAUCUGGUGGAAAUGAGUUAUUUUGGGGGAAAAGGUUAUUUUCUCUCAAAAACAAGUUAUGUUUUUGGAACAAGUUAUCCUGUUGGAGUUGGUUUUCUUGUUUUGAUCAAGUUAUCUUUUGCGAGGAGAUGUUAUGUUGACAACUUGUAGUCUUGAGUUAUCUUGUAGAAGCAAGUUACUGUCUCUGGAAGAAUGUGGUAACAAGCAAUUACCUUUUGAUAACGAGCAGGGCCGCCCAUAAGGGGGGACAAAGGGGAAAGUUUCCUGGGGCCCAGCCCCAACUGGGGGCUGACAAAACACGGUCCACCUUAAAUAUAAGCAGUGAUAACAAAUAGAUUUUUUUUUUUUUUUUUGCCUUUUUUCAAAAAUACUCUACGUUACUUAUUAAAGCCGCACAAUUGCACACGUUUUUCUUAUUCUUGUAGAAAAUGUACUGUUUUAAAAUGUAACCCCUUCUUACAUAGUACGACUUUUUUUCUUUUUCCUUCCCGUCUUGUAAUGGUCAUGUUAUGGGCCAGCCGAACUUAACUAUAAAGUCAUUUCUUUUUGCACUUUGUACAGCCAUGCCAGGACUUGAACUAAAGUAGGAAAACUAGAAAAGAAAGGACAAGAAAACUGACUUGUUAGCAAACUUAUUUUAACUGGUUUUAACAUUGAACUGAGCCUGAAUGUGGAGGCAAUUCUGAGCUAGGAGGCUAGUGUUAAUGUGUGUCAGUAUUAUUGAUCAGAUCCAAGAGACGGGCCCUUUAAUUAAGUCUAUAUUAUUUAUUUCCAUGGUUGGGUCUGAUUUCAAGUAACUAUCUUGUGGUAAUGAUAAUUCUUGGUAAGAGUUACCUUGUAGAAACAAGUCAUUAAAGUCAUUAUCAUGUGAUAACAAGCAGUAAUUUUGUGGGAACAAGUUAUUACCUCCGCCAAGGAGGUUAUGUGAUCGGCAGGGUUUGUUAGUUUGUCAGUUAGUUUGUUUGUUAGCAACAUAACUCAACAAGUUAUGAACGGAUUU
Molecule: RNA transcript, 4344 nt
Organism: Cheilinus undulatus (humphead wrasse)
Lineage: Eukaryota; Metazoa; Chordata; Actinopteri; Labriformes; Labridae
Gene name: phosphatidylinositol 4-phosphate 5-kinase type-1 gamma-like
Exons: 18
Source: RefSeq, a predicted model, not a curated record